UUUGAUCGGAGGAUUAUCAUCCCGGCAAUAUGAUGGAGUUAAACAUUGGAUGCCGAAGCAAGAACCACGUGAGGCCUGUGUUUUUGCCACCGCGAGAAAACAUGAAUCGAUCACGGUCCGUCUGAGAUGCAGCUCGAAGAUAACGUGAACUAUGCACAUUGUCCAGCUACAGAUUAAGAUGCUUAGUAUGAUUAAUCAUCCUCUGUUGUCAUGGAUGAACCUGGUGAUGUGUUAUGGAGGAGGAAAAAACAAAAAAGACUCAUCUGAUGAGAAACCACUGCAAGAAUCUCAUCCUGUUCACACAAGUCUGUGCAGCAUGCAUGUAUCAGCAUUUUUUGUGACCAGUGACUUCUCUUCUGAGGGGCGUGAAUUCCAAAUAUGUGUUUGUUGUGACGUGUGUGAACCAUGUGCAUCAUGCCUCUUGUCACAAUACGUGCCUGCUGCACACGCGUUGAAAAGGUUUAUGAUAAAAGAAGCACUCAUGUUCACAAAAUACUCGCAAGACACUAACUUGACACUAAACUGUGAUUACACAGGAGAUUAAGUGAGUAUCAGGCAAACGUGAGCGUAUCUUUUAUCAUAAACCCUUUACAUGCGUGUGCAGCAGAUUUUGACAUCACGUGUGAUGCACAUAAGUUUACAUGACGCGCUGAACACAUAUUUUGAAAUGACAAGCAACACACAUGACGAGCUCAAUGCAUGUGACCAGCUUCGCAACGUGUGCCCUCGAAAAAAAGUCACCGGCCGACACUGACCCAGAUCAUCAAGAUGUUAAAGCUGUUUGGGCUUCAGAGCAUCUUGUCAGCACCUUCUUCCACCAUGUACACAAUUUCUACCAUCGUGAAGGCGUGGCAGAAUGAGAGAUUUGCAGUCACCACAGGCUCUACGAGAAUGCAGCACUGUCCUGUCUUCCACUACACCUGCUCCCCUCUCCAGAGCCAUCCAGAGGAUCAACAAGGAUGAAGCUGUUGGGAUCUAUUAAUCACAGCAUUCACAAUUUAACACAUUAUUA
This is a non-coding RNA of Paramisgurnus dabryanus, 1012 nucleotides long. NCBI's taxonomy places the organism in Eukaryota, Metazoa, Chordata, Actinopteri, Cypriniformes, Cobitidae. The record is from RefSeq and is a predicted model, not a curated record.